This 519-nucleotide ribosomal RNA is filed under the name uncultured Bacillus sp. RNAcentral's name for it is "bacterial SSU rRNA". It matches the Rfam family "Bacterial small subunit ribosomal RNA", at positions 120 to 625 of the family's 1533-position model. The record is from RNAcentral. Lineage: Bacteria; Bacillati; Bacillota; Bacilli; Caryophanales; Bacillaceae.
GGCAACCUGCCUGUAAGACUGGGAUAACUUCGGGAAACCGAAGCUAAUACCGGAUAGGAUCUUCUCCUUCAUGGGAGAUGAUUGAAAGAUGGUUUCGGCUAUCACUUACAGAUGGGCCCGCGGUGCAUUAGCUAGUUGGUGAGGUAACGGCUCACCAAGGCAACGAUGCAUAGCCGACCUGAGAGGGUGAUCGGCCACACUGGGACUGAGACACGGCCCAGACUCCUACGGGAGGCAGCAGUAGGGAAUCCUCCGCAAUGGACGAAAGUCUGACGGAGCAACGCCGCGUGAGUGAUGAAGGCUUUCGGGUCGUAAAACUCUGUUGUUAGGGAAGAACAAGUACGAGAGUAACUGCUCGUACCUUGACGGUACCUUAUUAGAAAGCCACGGCUAACUACGUGCCAGCAGCCGCGGUAAUACGUAGGUGGCAAGCGUUGUCCGGAAUUAUUGGGCGUAAAGCGCGCGCAGGUGGUUUCUUAAGUCUGAUGUGAAAGCCCACGGCUCAACCGUGGAGGGUCA